Molecule: non-coding RNA, 28 nt
Filed under: Rattus norvegicus (Norway rat)
Lineage: Eukaryota; Metazoa; Chordata; Mammalia; Rodentia; Muridae
Source: RNAcentral
UGAGCCAGUGAAGUCCUUUGUAGUGUGU